CACUUUGUGGUCUGGUCGCGUGGCCCAACCUUCAAAUGUAUGAUCUGAGUUUUGGUCACUUGCAACAGAGAGAGGGGAUCCUGCCCCGACCAGAGCUGCCCCAACAAACCAGGGUGGGUGAAGGAGAGCAGCAUUUAUUGGGCGCCUACAGUCUUCCAGACUCUGUGCUAAGGAUCUUUUGCACUUCUUUGAUCCACACCACAGCCCUGCAAGGGGACCUUCAGAAUCUUUCUAAGACAAUCCAAAUGGAAGCAACUCGGUUUCCUGGCCCGGCCCUGGUAGACUGUCCAGAUUUCCCAGGAAUGUGACGAUGAGCUCUAUAGACCUUCAGCUGGAUAAAGAGCCUACUAAGCUCUUCUCUCCCACACUUUCCUCCGCACCCUCCCCAACACCGAGCUAGCUCUGGCAAUGUACGCGGCAACCUCAGCUCUCUGUUCAUCCCUGGAAGGCGUUCUUCCAAGGUGAAUUUAUUGCACUGAGGAAUACAUAUCUAAGCAUCCACCUGUGGAGUCUGGGAGAUCCAGAGUUCUAUCAAAGGCACCAUGAAGGACCAGCGGCCAUGACAGGAGCUGCUGGAGAUGGUAGCAAUGGCUGCCGGCAUGUUACUGACCAAUGGCAGAUGAAGGACUUGAAAAGGACCAGAGCACAGUAGAAGCUUGGGAGAUUUUGACAAGAUAACAUAGCAGCAUUCAGUGUGUGGACUCUAGAAAUACACAGCUCCUGGGAGCCCAGCCCACAGUCAAAGGAAAAUCAUGAGGACCCUGGAGAGGCAGAAAAGGACUGCUCGUGUCAACACUUCCAAGAUACUCUUUGCCACCAAACUUCCGCGUGGACAUGUCUCACAGGUGGAGUCUAC
This is a long non-coding RNA of Antechinus flavipes (yellow-footed antechinus), 856 nucleotides long. RefSeq lists it as uncharacterized. The transcript has 3 exons. Lineage: Eukaryota; Metazoa; Chordata; Mammalia; Dasyuromorphia; Dasyuridae. The record is from RefSeq and is a predicted model, not a curated record.